This 443-nucleotide ribosomal RNA is filed under the name uncultured bacterium. RNAcentral's name for it is "partial 16S ribosomal RNA". It matches the Rfam family "Bacterial small subunit ribosomal RNA", at positions 338 to 795 of the family's 1533-position model. The record is from RNAcentral.
CCUACGGGUGGCAGCAGUGGGGGAUAUUGGUCAAUGGGGGAAACCCUGAUCCAGCGACGCCGCGUGAGUGAAGAAGUAUUUCGGUAUGUAAAGCUCUAUCAGCAGGGAAGAAAGAAAUGACGGUACCUGAGUAAGAAGCCCCGGCUAACUACGUGCCAGCAGCCGCUGUAAUACGUAGGGGGCAAGCGUUAUCCGGAAUUACUGGGUGUAAAGGGAGCGUAGACGGGAAUGCAAGUCUGGAGGGAAAGGCCGGGGCCCAACCCCCGGACUGCCUUGGAAACUGUGUAACUGGAGUGCAGGAGAGGUAGGCGGAAUGCCUAGUGUAGCGGUGAAAUGCGUAGAUAUUAGGCGGAACACCAGUGGCGAAGGCAGCAUGCUGGACUCUAUCUGACGUUGAGGCUCGAAAGCGUGGGGAGCAAACAGGAUUAGAUACCCUAGUAGUC